GACGAACGCUGGCGGCGUGCUUAACACAUGCCAGUCGAACGGAAAGGCCCUGCUUUUGUGGGGUGCUCGAGUGGCGAACGGGUGAGUAACACGUGAGUAACCUGCCCUUGACUUUGGGAUAACUUCAGGAAACUGGGGCUAAUACCGGAUAGGAGCUCCUGCUGCAUGGUGGGGGUUGGAAAGUUUCGGCGGUUGGGGAUGGACUCGCGGCUUAUCAGCUUGUUGGUGGGGUAGUGGCUUACCAAGGCUUUGACGGGUAGCCGGCCUGAGAGGGUGACCGGCCACAUUGGUACUGAGAUACGGCCCAGACUCCUACGGGAGGCAGCAGUGGGGAAUAUUGCACAAUGGGCGGAAGCCUGAUGCAGCAACGCCGCGUGCGGGAUGACGGCCUUCGGGUUGUAAACCGCUUUCGCCUGUGACGAAGCGUGAGUGACGGUAAUGGGUAAAGAAGCACCGGCUAACUACGUG
This 468-nucleotide ribosomal RNA is filed under the name uncultured bacterium. RNAcentral describes it as "partial 16S ribosomal RNA". It matches the Rfam family "Bacterial small subunit ribosomal RNA", at positions 28 to 507 of the family's 1533-position model. The record is from RNAcentral.